Molecule: ribosomal RNA, 253 nt
Filed under: uncultured bacterium
Lineage: Bacteria
Description: partial 16S ribosomal RNA
Rfam family: Bacterial small subunit ribosomal RNA
Source: RNAcentral
UACGUAGGUGGCAAGCGUUGUCCGGAUUUAUUGGGUUUAAAGGGUGCGUAGGCGGCUUUGUAAGUCAGUGGUGAAAUAUGGCAGCUCAACUGUCAAGGUGCCAUUGAUACUGCAGAGCUUGAGUACAGAUGAGGUAGGCGGAAUUGACGGUGUAGCGGUGAAAUGCUUAGAUAUCGUCAAGAACACCGAUAGUGAAGACAGCUUACUAGGCUUAUACUGACGCUGAGGCACGAAAGUGUGGGGAUCAAACAGG